Molecule: ribosomal RNA, 495 nt
Filed under: uncultured bacterium
Lineage: Bacteria
Description: partial 16S ribosomal RNA
Rfam family: Bacterial small subunit ribosomal RNA
Source: RNAcentral
GAUGAACGCUGGCGGCGUGCCUAAUACAUGCAAGUCGAACGCUGAAGGAGGAGCUUGCUCUUCUGGAUGAGUUGCGAACGGGUGAGUAACGCGUAGGUAACCUGCCUGGUAGCGGGGGAUAACUAUUGGAAACGAUAGCUAAUACCGCAUGACAACAGUUAUUGCAUGAUAACUGUUUAAAAGGGGCAACUGCUCCACUACCAGAUGGACCUGCGUUGUAUUAGCUAGUUGGUGAGGUAACGGCUCACCAAGGCGACGAUACAUAGCCGACCUGAGAGGGUGAUCGGCCACACUGGGACUGAGACACGGCCCAGACGCCUACGGGAGGCAGCAGUAGGGAAUCUUCGGCAAUGGACGGAAGUCUGACCGAGCAACGCCGCGUGAGUGAAGAAGGUUUUCGGAUCGUAAAGCUCUGUUGUAAGAGAAGAACGAGUGUGAGAGUGGAAAGUUCACACUGUGACGGUAGCUUACCAGAAAGGGACGGCUAACUACGUG